GAUGAACGCUAGCUAUAGGCUUAACACAUGCAAGUCGAGGGGAAACGGCAUUAUGUGCUUGCACAUUUUGGACGUCGACCGGCGCACGGGUGAGUAUCGCGUAUCCAACCUGCCCUUUACUUGGGGAUACCCCGUUGAAAGACGGCCUAAUACCCGAUGUAAUUCAUUGAUGGCAUCAGAUAUGAAUAAAAGAUUUAUCGGUAAAGGAUGGGGAUGCGUCUGAUUAGCUUGUUGGUGAGGUAAAGGCUCACCAAGGCAACGAUCAGUAGGGGUUCUGAGAGGAAGGUCCCCCACAUUGGAACUGAGACACGGUCCAAACUCCUACGGGAGGCAGCAGUGAGGAAUAUUGGUCAAUGGGCGUGAGCCUGAACCAGCCAAGUAGCGUGCAGGAUGACGGCCCUAUGGGUUGUAAACUGCUUUUGUAUGGGGAUAAAGUCAAUCACGUGUGAUUGUUUGCAGGUACCAUACGAAUAAGGACCGGCUAAUUCCGUGCCAGCAGCCGCGGUAAUACGGAAGGUCCGGGCGUUAUCCGGAUUUAUUGGGUUUAAAGGGAGCGUAGGCCGGAGAUUAAGUGUGUUGUGAAAUGUAGACGCUCAACGUCUGACUUGCAGCGCAUACUGGUUUCCUUGAGUACGCACAACGUUGGCGGAAUUCGUCGUGUAGCGGUGAAAUGCUUAGAUAUGACGAAGAACUCCGAUUGCGAAGGCAGCUGACGGGAGCGCAACUGACGCUUAAGCUCGAAGGUGCGGGUAUCGAACAGG
Molecule: ribosomal RNA, 761 nt
Filed under: Prevotella melaninogenica
Lineage: Bacteria; Pseudomonadati; Bacteroidota; Bacteroidia; Bacteroidales; Prevotellaceae
Description: bacterial SSU rRNA
Rfam family: Bacterial small subunit ribosomal RNA
Source: RNAcentral